This 253-nucleotide ribosomal RNA is filed under the name uncultured bacterium. RNAcentral describes it as "partial 16S ribosomal RNA". It matches the Rfam family "Bacterial small subunit ribosomal RNA", at positions 524 to 776 of the family's 1533-position model. The record is from RNAcentral.
UACGAAGGGGGCUAGCGUUGCUCGGAAUCACUGGGCGUAAAGGGUGCGUAGGCGGGUCUUUAAGUCAGAGGGGAAAUCCUGGAGCUCAACUCCAGAACUGCCUUUGAUACUGAGGAUCUUGAGUACGGGAGAGGUGAGUGGAACUGCGAGUGUAGAGGUGAAAUUCGUAGAUAUUCGGAAGAACACCAGUGGCGAAGGCGGCUCACUGGCCCGGUACUGACGCUGAGGUGCGAAAGCGUGGGGAGCAAACAGG